This 403-nucleotide ribosomal RNA is filed under the name uncultured bacterium. Its description in RNAcentral is "partial 16S ribosomal RNA". It matches the Rfam family "Bacterial small subunit ribosomal RNA", at positions 30 to 526 of the family's 1533-position model. The record is from RNAcentral.
AUUGAACGCUGGCGGCCGGCCUAACACAUGCAAGUCGAGCGAGCGGCGGACGGGUGAGUAAUGUAUGGGGACUGCCCGAUAGAGGGGGAUAACUACUGGAAACGGUGGCUAAUCCCGCAUACUAUCGGAUACCCCUUAUUGGAUUAGCUAGUAGGUGGGGUAAAGGCUCACCUAGGCGACGAUCUCUAGCUGGUCUGAGAGGAUGACCAGCCACACUGGGACUGAUACACGGCCCAGACUCCUACGGAGGCAGCAGUUGGGAAUAUUGCACAAUGGGCGCAAGCCUGAUGGAGCCAUGCCGCGUGUAUGAAGAAGGCCUUAGGGUUGUAAAGUACUUUCAGCGGGGAGGCGUUACCCGCAGAAGAAGCACCGGCUAACUCCGUGCCAGCCGCCGCGGUAAUUC